UAAUUGUCGAUAAUUUAAGUGCCUAUCCUAUCUUUUUCUCGCGUCGCACUCACGGCGAGAAACGGUACUAUCCUUGUUGCACUCGUGAUGAUAAAGCUAAUUGCAGUUUUAUGUUUUUCGCUUAAACAAAUGAGAACUUCGAAAAAAA
This is a long non-coding RNA of Cotesia glomerata, 148 nucleotides long. RefSeq lists it as uncharacterized. The record is from RefSeq and is a predicted model, not a curated record. NCBI's taxonomy places the organism in Eukaryota, Metazoa, Arthropoda, Insecta, Hymenoptera, Braconidae. The transcript has 3 exons.